GAUGAAGAACGUAGCGAAUUGCGAUAAGUAAUGUGAAUUGCAGAAUUCAGUGAAUCAUCGAAUCUUUGAACGCACAUUGCGCCCCCUGGUAUUCCGGGGGGCAUGCCUGUUCGAGCGUCAUUACAACCCUCAAGCUCUGCUUGGUAUUGGGCCCCGCCAGUUCUGGCGGGCCCUAAAGUCAGUGGCGGUGCCUUCCGGCUCCGAGCGUAGUAAUUCUUCUCGCUCUGGAGACCCGGUUGUGUGCUUGCCAACAACCCCCAAUUUUUUAAGGUUGACCUCGGAUCAGGUAGGGAUACCCGCUGAACUUAAGCAUAUCAAUAAGCGGAGGA
This 329-nucleotide unclassified non-coding RNA is filed under the name soil metagenome. RNAcentral's name for it is "partial contains 5.8S ribosomal RNA, internal transcribed spacer 2, and large subunit ribosomal RNA". The stretch from base 1 to 120 matches the Rfam family "5.8S ribosomal RNA", at positions 35 to 154 of the family's 154-position model. The record is from RNAcentral.